UCUAACGAUAGAUUCAUAUAUCAAAAUGAACUGAUUGUAUAGGACUUGAAUUUGAUUAACAAAAUAAAUGCACAUACAGUUAAUGCUACAAAGGAAAUUCUGUGAGAUGCUGAUGGUCCAGUGGACAGAGCUCUUGGUGUCAAAGCUAAACUUGAUGCAGGAGACCUGACGAAUGUAGUCAAUGUAAAAUCUGACUCGUUUUGUCGAAACGAGAUAGGCAGUUUUCCAUCCGCUCCACUAGGCGGCGAAAGCGAGUUUCAGGUUCAGUGUGAUCUCUGAUGUGUUCGUGUGCUUGGCUUGCAACAACCAACAGCACGCGCAAGGUGCAACAGCACAUAUUCCAGCCCAUAAACUAAUAAAACCGACACAAACUUCGAUGAAGUGAAGGAACCGAGUGUCACUCACUUGACUCAUCAGACACCCUGGUCCUUGCCAAAAACGACGUGUUUAUGGCUGCUUAUAUCCUUACCCUGGAGUUGGUUCACCCUCCGCCUAUGGAUUAAGGAACCCAAGUGUUUGGUGAUGUGUGGAGAGUCUCUGUCACUGACCAGGUUUAAGCAGAUCGUGGGUGCCGAUGAGUACUUUGGGAACCAGGCGUCUAACUGAAUAGAAAAAGUGUCUGCAUUAGCUUUGCCAACACGCUUGGACCAGAGCAGGCUUCGGGGAUGCUUUGACAUGCAGAAUGAGUGAUGUGUGAGGAGUGUUACACCCAGUCAACAGAAGCAUGUGGACAGACAACGACUAGACUGAUGAAGACCUGCUCAUGCACAGGUAAUGCUUAUAUCAUUUCAGUGUGUGUUGUUGGCUCGCAAAUGUGUAGGUUAUUAUCCUUUUUUUUUUUUUUGGAAGGGUCACUAUAUUUCAAAAGUUAGUGAUCGACAUACGAUUUAAAUUAUCUUUAAUAAAUUGCAUAUAAUAUAAAUAAAUAUCCCCCCCCCCCCACACACACACACAUAUAUAGCAAAGUUUUGCAUUGUUACUGAAUGCAACUUCUAUUUUGACAUUGCCUGAAUGUGUUAUUUAAAUGACAUUUGUCUUAACAUGUAACUUAUAUUAAACCUAGAGACAUAUUAACUCCUUUGGUAUGCCAUAUGAAGGACACAAUGCAUUGCUUUUUGUAUGCUUGUUUUGGUCAUUUUUGGACCAACACACCGUCUUGCAUUUAUACUCCUUAAUCUAACGAUUUCUCAACAUGAAGGAAAACAUGGCCCUCAGUUUACGCUAAAUAUCAAUUUUUAUUCUUAAAAACCAUACACGAUACUCGACAAGUUUAAAAUGUAAGUUAAAUCACGAUAUCCAUUUACAAUGCGCAAGAUAAACAGACAUGUUCUUUUAUUUCCAAACUUUAAAAUAAUAAUAAAAAAAAAAUUCUUAAAACAGAUGGAUAAACAUUCAUUCCCGUUAUAGGAAGACGCUAUAGAAAAAAAAAAAGUUAUGGAUUCUUUUAAUAUAUCUGCUCUAAAUUGCAAACUUAAGCAGUUUUUCUGUAUUUAAUAAACUUGAAAAAAACGAAAUAACUUAUUCAAAAGAACAGAACCAAAAAAUGUGCAGUUGUGAUGACUGAAGAAAUGCAAAUCCCUUUCUCCGUUUUUCUUCCUUCUCCUUUAUAUCACCUUUAAUUAACCAACAAUUGGAGAUAAGCAACAGUCUGAACUGGAACCCUGCUGCUAAAAAAAUUAAAUCUACUCCUAAGUAUAUAUACAUAAAAAUAAAAAAAAACACCAAAACAUGUUUGUAUUUUGACCAUAAGUUUCAUGCUGUGAGCCACCCUGAGUAUUAUAUUACUUAGAGAACCAAUCACGACCCACCCUCCCCUUGAAUAUAAUUUAUGUAAAAUCCCUGUAGGUCUGGUUCAGCAGGUUGAGAUGUUGUCAUUUCCUCAUAAAAAUAUAAUUUAUAUGGUCUGUAUCAAAACGUUCCUUGGGAAUCUGAAAUGAAGUACCCUGUGCUGUGAUACCAGUGUUAUAUGCACGUUUUCUUAAAUUAAUCAUGUUGGUUGCUUUGUGUUUCCAGUAUUUCAGGUCUUAAAUAUUCUACAAACAAUUGCAGCAAUAUUUUCUUAGCUGACAGCAAUCUUUAUGGAAUAUGAAGGACAAUAUAAAGUACAAACUUCAUUUUUUUCCCCCAAAUGAUCAAACAAAACACAGGAAAUAUUUGUUUCAAAUAAUCAAAAGCCUGAGUGAACAAACUUAUGAUACAUUGGCAGGAACUUAAUAUCUUGAUGUUAAUGAACUGUCUGUGGACCAUUUCAGUUAACCAAAGCAAAGUUUUUUUUUUUAAAUGCGGACCUGGUGUGACCUCCACUUCAAAAAAAAAAA
Carassius auratus (goldfish) is the source of this 2318-nucleotide long non-coding RNA. RefSeq lists it as uncharacterized. The transcript is spliced from 4 exons. Lineage: Eukaryota; Metazoa; Chordata; Actinopteri; Cypriniformes; Cyprinidae. The record is from RefSeq and is a predicted model, not a curated record.